CUCAGGACGAAUGCUGGCGGCGUGCGUAAUACAUGCAUGUCGUACGCUUCUUUUUCCACCGGAGCUUGCUCCACCGGAAAAAGARGAGUGGCGAACGGGUGAGUAACACGUGGGUAACCUGCCCAUCAGAAGGGGAUAACACUUGGAAACAGGUGCUAAUACCGUAUAACAAUCGAAACCGCAUGGUUUUGAUUUGAAAGGCGCUUUCGGGUGUCGCUGAUGGAUGGACCCGCGGUGCAUUAGCUAGUUGGUGAGGUAACGGCUCACCAAGGCCACGAUGCAUAGCCGACCUGAGAGGGUGAUCGGCCACAUUGGGACUGAGACACGGCCCAAACUCCUACGGGAGGCAGCAGUAGGGAAUCUUCGGCAAUGGACGAAAGUCUGACCGAGCAACGCCGCGUGAGUGAAGAAGGUUUUCGGAUCGUAAAACUCUGUUGUUAGAGAAGAACAAGGAUGAGAGUAACUGUUCAUCCCUUGACGGUAUCUAACCAGAAAGCCACGGCUAACUACGUGCCAGCAGCCGCGGUAAUACGUAGGUGGCAAGCGUUGUCCGGAUUUAUUGGGCGUAAAGCGAGCGCAGGCGGUUUCUUAAGUCUGAUGUGAAAGCCCCCGGCUCAACCGGGGAGGGUCAUUGGAAACUGGGAGACUUGAGUGCAGAAGAGGAGAGUGGAAUUCCAUGUGUAGCGGUGAAAUGCGUAGAUAUAUGGAGGAACACCAGUGGCGAAGGCGGCUCUCUGGUCUGUAACUGACGCUGAGGCUCGAAAGCGUGGGGAGCAAACAGGAUUAG
This 787-nucleotide ribosomal RNA is filed under the name Enterococcus faecium. Its description in RNAcentral is "bacterial SSU rRNA". It matches the Rfam family "Bacterial small subunit ribosomal RNA", at positions 23 to 781 of the family's 1533-position model. The record is from RNAcentral. Lineage: Bacteria; Bacillati; Bacillota; Bacilli; Lactobacillales; Enterococcaceae.